RNAcentral lists this long non-coding RNA (40450 nucleotides) under Phoenix dactylifera (date palm). Its description in RNAcentral is "long non-coding RNA (PDAC_LNC001539)". Lineage: Eukaryota; Viridiplantae; Streptophyta; Magnoliopsida; Arecales; Arecaceae. The record is from RNAcentral.
UUGUGUUUGAGGUUUUUAUGCUCGACCUAACCUGGUUCUAUAUAAAUUGCUUAAUUUAAUGCAUGCAUGCAUGCACAUAUACACAUACACAUAUAUAUAAAUAUAUACAUAUGUAAAUGCAUAUAAUAUUAAUUUUACUGGUACAUCUUUCAAUUGUAAAAAUAAAAAAGUAAUAGUAUAUCAACAUAUAAUUGGAAAUUUAUACUUAAGUGUAUCUUUUCAUUUUUUAAUCUAUUAUUAUAUGAUUAACCAUCAAGUACGCGUUAUUAAUGAUUUAAUAUUUGUAACAUGCAUUUAAUGUCUCAUUAAGAAACUCCUCAAGGCAUAGAUUAUUUAGCUUGAUUAACUAUAAUAUUUGAUAUCCGAGGGAUACUCGGAUCCAACCUUCAAUAUAUUGCUUAAUUAUCCGAACCAAAACUCUAUCAGAUCCUUCAAUAUAUUGCUUAUGGAAUAAAUAUUAGACUCGAGUCUCAACAAGCAUGGGUCUAGGUUAGUAUUUGGAAUAAAUAUUAGACUCCGGAUUGCAUAGCACCACUACAUUGUUGUGAUCCUUAAUUAAAACAAUCCACUUAGAUUAGUCCAAAUACUCUUAGCGAGGAUAUAAGAACUUAUCACAUUAUACUUCUGCUUGGAUAAGUACCACAUGUUGCAUGUGUGGGAUCAUAAACAUUUGGGUUGUAUUCCUUCCCUGGUACAUUGCUUACAUUCAUUGCACAUGCCACUAAUGCAUACUGAGAGAAAAAAAUUCAAAGAACAAACAUCCUAAUCAAAUGAAGUAGCAGUUUGUGUCAAAUUUAAAUCAUUCAUUAAAUACUCUCAAAUAGCAAUAAAUUUUGAAAAAAAAAUUAAGGUUAGGGACAUCUCAAAUGCAUAUAAAUAUGGCAAAUUAUAGUUUAUAGUAGAUACCUGCGCUUGUUGCCGAGAAGCCAACUCAAAUUAGGGUAAGAGAGGUUAGGUUUCUUUUCUGUACAUGGUUUGUGUAUGGAAAUUGCCCGAACAUUAUGCUAAUUUAUCACAAAUAUAUUUAUUUGUGCAUCUUGGAUGCUAUAAUAGUAUAAUAACCAUAUUAGCAAAACUAAAGACUGCCUAUCUUUAUCAAUUUUAUCCUUAUUCUUGUUAUUUUUCUAUAAUAUAUAGUAAUUUAUUUGAGUGCAUCCCAUGGAUAUUUUGGUUGUUACCCACCAUCUAAUAAAAGCAUAAAGGGAAAACAAACACUUUGUCUCAUCAACCAAGUUGAACCAUUCCAUUGCAAUAACUAUUAUACAGCUAGGGCAGCUAUUAUUCAAUAUUUCCACUGGCCACUUGUCACUUGAUCUUACUUUAAAAUAGAUACCAUAUUUUCCAAAUGGUAACAUAACCUAUUAACACUUAUUUUAUCUUUUUUGGUACAUGUUAGCACCUAUUUUAUCAUUAUAUUCUCAGCAAAAGAAAUAAACUUUGAUUGAUGCUGACAUGAAAUUUUUUUAUUAAAACGACAGAUGAUAGUAUAUCCAAUGUCAGGGUAUGGAUAGUACGAAGAGCAAAGGACUUGAGCUGAGAAAGAAGACUUGACCUGUAAAUAAUAAAUCCAAAUAUAAACUAUGCGGCAGCGAAUCUGAUCUGGUUAUCCCUAACCGGAAUAGUAUAUUCCGCCACACCUUCAAACUCUACCCGUCCGAUCAAGAUCGGACAGCCCUGAUAACGACCAUCCGUACUAGUUCUAACAUUGGAGACAGCCCUAAUGGCAGACCCCGCAAUUCACGGCAACGACGAGGGCGUUCGAUUUCAGUUUGAUGCCAACCAAUCAAAACGUGUUUUGCCUGGUGGGCCCGCCCAAAAGAAGCAAAAAUUAAACGAAGCUUCCCUUCUUUCCUUUCGUUUAAAAAGUGCUGUCUGCCCGAUCGAACUCGUCCAAAGAAAGAAUGAAAGAAAAAUUCUUCCUUUCUCGUUGUUGGAAUUCCCUCCCAACUCUUUGAUUCAUCCUUUGAUUCAAAGCAGAGUGGAAGAAGGCGGGAUUAGGGAGUAAAAGGUGAAAAUCUUGAAGAAAGAUCGAAGUUUUCGACGUGUUUUGUGGAUUCUAAAACUUUUUGGUUGUGUUUUCUGUUUUAUUUGUUUUGAAGGUUUCGAGCUAGGGUUCAACUUUUUAUUCCAAUCCGUGUUGGAUUCGAGGUUUUUCUACUCUUCCGGAUUUUCAAGUCGGAACGUUUACAGUGGCGAUCGAGCUUGGUGCUGGACCCCGUAAUUUUAAUGAUCUCCUUAUGAGUUUGUUUUUUUUUUUCCUUGGUUUUUAGGAGGAGUUGACUCGUCGUAGUUUGAAACUCAUUAAAAUUUGGUUUUAAUUUAUGUUUGACGAAAUUCAGUUUGGGAGAUGACCGAUUGAUCUUGACGUGUAGGAAUGAAACUUUUGACGCAGAUAGUUAACGUUUGCGUUUUUAUUCAUGGAUAUUGUUAUGUUACAAAUCUCUCUCUCUCUCUCUGGUUCUUUUAAUUGUCUUCACUGCCGGAAUGGAAGAAUUUAAUGUUAUUUGAUGUUUUAUGGAUUGAUUAAGUGGAAUUUUUUUGAUGUUUGCUGGUAUCUUAUUUUUAAUACAGAGAGGUAGAACUGGGAAUUUCACGAGAUCAUCUUUAAUUGCUUACCAUAAAAACAAUUUUUUUUUUUUUGCUCAUUGUAGGAGUUUGGGACAGAUGACGAGGAUGACACGUGAUUUUGGAGACUCAAUGCAGAAGGAGGCGAUUCAUUUGGUAUCAACUGAUGUGAAUUUUGUAUUGGGACGGUUUCCAGAUUAUCAGAUAGGAGCCAACAACAUAAUUAUCGAGCCAGAGGAGAAUCCUCAGGUGCCCUCCCUCAAAGAGAUUGUUGCAAAGGAGACAGCUCAGCUGCUGGAGCAGCAGAAGCGUCUCUCUGUUCGCGACCUUGCGGAUAAAUUCGAGAAGGGUCUGUCUGCUGCUGCAAAAUUGUCAGAUGAGGUGCCAUUCCCAUUCUUAAUUUGUAUUCAUAAAUGGCAGCCAUUUGAAACACACAUCUAUCUGCAAGAAGAUAUGUUACAUUGACUUGUCAGUUAUUUAAACAUGUUGCAAUAACUGCCAUAUUUGCCUUGCUGUCAUAUAGAGUCAUUGUCUUAAUUUUUCUUCUUUUUCUUACAAAUUAAGAAUAAUUGAUUGGUAGUUGGACAAUGGUGUAGGAAUUUCAGCUAAGAAGUUGUUAAUCUGGAUGAAACUUAAAAAACAAUAUGAAAGUGUCCUAGUAAUCUGAUGGCACAUUUCCUUUCAUAUUUCUCUUUUUAUCUGUUUGAUAUAUGCUUUACAUCGAAGAAAAUUGCUUAUAUCUAGCAUAAAAUCUUGCUUGGGAUUUCAGUCAAAGUGGAGAGAAGUGGCUUCAUUGGAUAGACAUGUCCUUUUGAAGAAACUCAGAGAUGCACUGGAUCAACUCAGAGGCCGAGUGGCAGGUCGAAAUAAGGAUGAUGCUGAGGAGGCCAUUUCUAUGGUUGGUUCACUUUCUUCUCAUUUGUUUUUCUUAUGCAUGCAAUGGUCUAUACAUAUAUGUAUCAAAUUUUUAAAUCAGAUUGCUGUCCUGUGGCCUUAGACCUUAAGUGUUUAACAGCUUAGAAUCACAGAAGCAUGCAAUUUUGGAACUCUUUUGUUCAAGGAGUUGGUCAUGCAGUGUGUGUGUCAUGCCAAAUUGCAUAUCCUUUUCUACUCAUAUAGGAAAGGCUUUGAGAUUGGUCGCAUGCGGUCGGCCCCGGAACCUAGAAAGCCAUGCCUCUUUUUACAGAAAAAGUGCCAUAAAAAUCUCCCAUUGCGCUGUAUCCCAUGAUCCGAUCCCAGGUCCCGCCACAUAACCCCCUCCUUAUCUCCUCAUCCCAGCUCAAUUGCCCAUAAUUUUUUUCUUAGAAAAAUCCACUACUUUAGUUAUAUAUAAAUGGAACUCCUGAUGCUCGGCAUGCAACUCUGGACUUCAUAACUAUGAAACCUCCACGUGCUUAUUUAACAAAUAAAAAAAUAUGCAAUAGAGUGCACAUGCCUUUUUUUUCUUCCAUAUCCCUCACCCCCUCCAUUUCCUUAAAAGGCAUGUUCAUGGCUCAUGUAACAUACAAGUAAGGAAGAAAUGUCAGACUCGGAUACAGCAGUGCAGCAUCAAUUCCAAAUUCGCAUGUAAUGUUUGGAAGCCAUCACACCAACCGAACUAUAUUGGAGAAAGUAUUGAUAAGGAACUAUGUGGACUUUUCAACAAAGUAUUGAGAAUGAGGUUCGCAAUCUCGGUACUCGACCCUAUAUCAAUACCAUGUUGGUACAUUGUUGGUAUGCUAAUCUGUUGCAGCAGUGCAGCAUCCAUUCCAAAUUCACACGUGAUGUUUGGAAGCCAACACGCACAGCCAAAUUGUACCAAAGAAUGUAUUGAUAAGGAACUAUGUAGGCUUCUGAACAAAAUAUUGAGAACAAGAUUGACAAUCUCAACACUCGACCAUGUACAAUGUUGGUACAAUGGCGGUACACCUGGUUAGUGUACGGACACUCUGCACACUCCCUGUACUGAAUAUUGAUUCAUUACUGGUAAUGGUACCGUAUAUCCAUUACGUGGUGAUACACACCAAUACGGCGAACUCUGAUCGAGAAAUUGUUGAGAAAAACCUUAGGGGCAUAGUACUUAUACUAAAUGCAUUUGCACAUCAAAUAUCCCAUGACUAUGUCAAUGGAUUGGUUUACGAAACACUAUUUGUGGUAAUCAUAUCUAGUGAUUUUUUUAUCAGUUAUCCCAGUUUUAUCUAGUUAUCUCACUGCUGUUCAUGCUAACUUUGACUAUGUUGAAGUCAAACGUGACAAGAUGCUACACUUACUUGUAGGUGGAAGCUUUAGCAGUUCAAUUGACUCAAAGAGAAGGAGAGUUGCUUCAUGAGAAGUCGGAAGUGAAAAAGUUAGCAACUUUUCUCAAACAGGUAAUGUCAAAGCACUUAAAAAUACAUAGUGAAAUAUAACUUCCAUUAAUUGAAUUCACAAUUUCCAUUGUUUUAAUUGCUUACCGUGUUUGCUUUUGUAACUUCAUGGCCCACUAAACUGCAGAUAGUUAUAUGAGCUUUCUAUUCUUUCCUCCUUUUCGUUCAGUCUGAUUGAUAGAUCCAAUCUCUGGAGCUGCUUCAUAUCUCCAAAACAUGCAUUCUCUCACCUUUCUGCCAGCCAAAAUUUUAACAACCACCAGUAAAAGAUGCAGAAAAUGAAAGCUCCAUGCAAUGAAUUUCAGUCUAUUUAAACUUUUAAAAUUUGAAUUGACAGGAAAAUAAAAAAAAUAUUACAAAGAAAUGUUCCCACGAGAAGGGAUGCUACUUUCAACUCAUAGUCACCAGUGGGAAGAAUCUUAAGCACUUCAGAGCAGAUAGAAACCAAAAAACAGAAAUCUUUUAUAUUUGUAUUCACAUAGUGCUGUGAUCACUGGUAAAAUUAUUUUCUUUUUUUAAAUUACACUUAAUAUCUGUCUCUUUUGCUGCUUCCAGGCUAUUGAGGAUGCAAAAAAAGUAAUUGAAGAGGAAAGGGCUAUUGCUCGUGCAGAAAUUGAAAGUGCUAGAGCAGCAGUGCAGAGGGUUGAAGAGGCCCUUCAAGAACAAGAACGAAUGUCCAGAAGUGCGGAGAAACAGGUUGGUAUCAGAAGUUCCUAAUAAAUUUAAUUGGCCUUUUAGCUUGCUAUUGACCCUCAACUAACUAGCAAGACAAAAAUUAGGAAGUGGAUCGACAUUUACUAGCUGCGCUGGAUUAUUUUUAUAAGAGGCCUUUUAAGCUUUGAGUUUUGGCUCUGAUUAUACUUGUUAUCCUCUUUUAUCAGACUUUAUUAUUUGUCUUUAUAGCAUUAUUACUAUUUGUCCUGGAUGUCCAAGAAGUUGCAUUAUAUUUUCUGUAGGAGUUGGAAGAACUAAAGAAAGAGAUUCAAGAGGCCAGGAGAAUCAAAAUGCUGCAUCAGCCAAGCAGGGUACAUUUUCAUUUUUAUUUUUUAUUUAUCUAUUUUGCAAACGUCCAGCCCAGAAUAUAAAUGGCACACUACCCUUUGUUAAUUUGGGUUCUGCUUUGUUUCAUAAAAAAUACUGUUUAAGCUGCUUUUUAUUAGCUCCAGUGACAUCAUGUCUUUCAGUGCUGGCUAUAUUUGUACUCCCUAUAUCGCUAAAUAAGAUAACUAUACACUCAAUAGGUAAUGGAUAUGGAACAUGAACUUCAAGCACUGCGAAUUCAGAUUGCAGACAAGUCUAUGCAUUGCAUUCAGCUAAAGAAAGAGGUAUGUUAUUGAUCACAUUGAUUUUUGUUAUAGUAGAAUAAAAAUAAUCACUGAUUUUGUCAUAUUUGACUCUAUUUGUUAUCCAUUGCCUGCUUCAGUUGCCCAUAUUUCUGCUGCCUGUUUGUUGACCUUUGAUAUGCUUUGUUGCUUGUAACAUGAGUCUUUAACUCCUAUACCCUUACUUUACACAUGUUCGGAGUUUUGGAGAUCAUAAUGUCACUGACUUCUUUUAAAGUAAUCAUGACUAAGUUAUGUUGGUUUUCAUAUACUGCAUCUGUCCUUCAACUUUGAUACUUUCCUCUUUUCCCAUGCUUCUGCUUUCUGUAGCAAGUGAAUGCUAGCUGCUACUGAUAUUGAGAUUUUUAUUUAGUUAAUGUAAUUGUAAUUGUAUUAUCUGAAUCGUGUCGGUGAUUCACAAGUUAUCAAUGAAAAGUCUCUCAAGCAUUGGUCAUUUAAUCCAUUACUGGAAAUAAAGAUCUAUCUUCGCAUACAUGCUACUACUAGGGAGAAAUAUUUUGACAAUGGCUGACAGUUUGCUAAAUCUUUAAACUUUACCAGCUUGCAAUAAUGAAAAAGCUUGAGGAGAACAAGUCAAAUUUGUAUGAGCUUGAGGGUUCUGAAAGUCUAGGAUCAUGUUUACGUAUUGUUCCUCGAAUUGAUCCUGCACCAGACAUCUCUAAUUGCUCUAUUCGGUGGUACCGUACUGAAGGAAGCAAGAAGGAAUUAAUUUCAGGUAUAUGAAUUUAAUAUUUUUGCACUUAACUUAUUUUACAAGUUAGGUUUUACAUGACCAAUUGUUAUAAGUGGAUCAGUUCUUACCUUGUUCAGUUAUUUUCUCAAUCAGCAUCUCUUUCCUUAUGGCUUUUUAACAGAUGAUGCAUCUUUUGUAACCUGGCGUACUAGAGCUGUAUCAUUGUCUUGACAGGCUGUGAGACUAAACUAAAUUGAGGAAGAUGACAAGGCAAAGAGAUUAGAAGAUGCAAAGGCUGUUGUGAAAGGAUCCUGGAUAGCAAACAAGAAGAAGCAAGCUGAAAAUGGUUAAUAGCCUUAAUAAUAUAUCAAAGUGGCAUCAUAGGGAUGGAAAAGACGAGCAAGAUUGUUCAAAUACAUUAAAAUAGUUAUCAAGAUGAUACAAUAGUUAGCUGCUGUAUAAUAAAAGAUGUAGAAGUAAAAUUAGCAUGAUCUUUAUUUAUAGGGCAAAAUCCGUGAGUGAUAAAACACCAUAACUGAAAGAAGGGUAAAUAAUUAAGACUAGGCUGGAAAAGAUUACACACUGGUCCCAUAAGACCUGACAUCUCAAAGUCUCAAUGACAAGCGUCCUAUGCCAAGUGUGUUGGUGUCCAAAAGUAUCUGACAUCUCAACCACCAAAGAUCCUAAUGUGAGGAUAGUUCCGCACAAUGCUAUAUACAAGGUCUGCCGAACCGACCGGAACCGGUCGAUUUAAGCUGUACCGAACCGGUGCCGACAGCUACCAGUACGGUUCGGCUGUGAAAAUCGGUACCGAACCGAAAUCGGUGCAACCGGCACUGGUAGAAGCAGGGAAUAAGAGGAGGAAGAAAGAAGAGAGAAGAAGUGGGGAAGAAGAGGAAGAAAGAAGAGAAGAAGAAGCGGGGAAGAAGAGAAGGCAAGUACCGGAAAAAGGAGGACCUCUCUUCCUUGCUCAUGGGCGGGACCUCUCUUCCUUCCUUGCUCGCGGGAGAACGGGAGGAUCCGGGAAAGAGAGGAGAAGAGAGGAGAGAGGGGAAGAAGGAGGGUUCGGGAAGAAGAAGGGGAGGAAAAAAAAUAAAGAAAGGGAAAAAAAACCCCGCGCAGGGGGCCGAGUGGGGAACCGCGAGCCCGCUCGUAGGGAACUGCGCCCGCACGCGGUUCCCCACGCUGCCUCGAUUCCCCGCGUGGGCUCGCCUCGUCGGGCAGCAAGCCCAUGCAGGCUGCCCCGCGUGGGCUUUAAAUGCCGCAAGAGUGGCAUUUAAUGCUACUCCGUGGUAACGUGCGGGCGCGCGCGCGUCCGCGCGUCGGACGUGUGUUUUUUUCCUAUCUCGACUGGUUCGGUACCGGUUCCGACUGGUACCGAACCGGUACCGUAUCGUAACCGGUCUUCACCGGUACACCAAUACUAUCGGUACCGCAGACCUUGGCUAUAUAUAUAGAAUAAAAAAUACAGCUAUAUCAAAAUAUAUUAAUAAGGUAAGUUAACUAGCCAAUAUAAUUUUUAUUUAGAAAGGAACUUAUAUUUUUUCCAUAAUAACAUUAAAGAAAGAAAAAUAAUCAUUAUGAUGCUUCAAUAGAAGAGUUUGAAUAUUCAGACUAAUACUGUUUGUUGGUGAAUAGUUUAGAGUUCAGUUGUGUCAUCAAUUGCAAUGAGGCUCCAAAAAGCCAUGCCAAAUUCUGCCAUUUCUAGCUGAUGCAUGCAGGACACACCACUUUUAGAGUGUUAUGGAGCAUCAUGCCACAUCCAAGUGUGCAAAAGUGUCAAUACUCCAAAAUUCUGAAAAAAUUGAAAUGUGAGUAGGAUUAAUGCUUUCAUGCCUUGGUGGAUGCUUGAGUAUGUAAAACUAAGAUAGAAUCUUUUUGCUGAUCAGAACUUUAUUAAGGACAGCAAAAAAGAGUAGGAUAAGGAGAAAAAAGAAGAAAGAAGGGAAGAAGGUAAAACUAAGAUAGGAUCUUUUUGCUGAUCAGAACUUUAUUGAGGACAGCAAAAAAGAAUAGGAUAAGGAGAAAAAAGAAGAAAGAAGGGAAGAAGGCUGCUAGAGGGAUUCUACCUGCAGAACAUUUUUUGGAGCUUUCUCGGGUCUGAUUUACUGAUGUAAGCUGCAUGAGGUACAGGCAUAUGAGGCUAAUAACAGACCCAAGGGCAAACAAAGGUCUGCUUUGUGUUUGUGUUGCAGAAAUAGAUCAUAUCUGUUUUUACUCUUUACAUUUAAUUCGAAAGGUUGAUCAAAUGGCGGCACAGAACAGGAAGGAUCAGAGGUUUGAGAGAGAGGAGAGUGGCAUAGAACGGGAAUGAGAGAAGUUUAAGAGAGAGGAGAGACUAGAAGUGCGGGCACCUUUUUUAGUUCAUGCAAACUGAAAGAACUGUCAGUUGGGAUUCCUGGUUCACAUAUAUCUGUUGUCCUCUUGGCCAGGCACUCUUCCCUGAAAUAGUCUCUUUAGGGGACUCAAACAACCUGCUAUCAGAAAACAUCCAUAAAUUGGGAAUAAAUCUAAGAAAUCCAUUUGUAAAUGGCACAUCCAGCUGAAACUAAAUCUCUGCUAUAUUAAAAGAUCUUGGAUUGAAUUUUUGGGUCCAUCAUUUUACUUCCUAAGUUACCAUUAGUUUUCUUGGAUGUCUUUUUAAGAAAUCUAUUCCACAAUUUCUUGUUGUUUCAAAUACGAUAAAAUACCGAUUAUGAUCUUCUUAAUACCCGUCUUUUCGUAUCCAAACCCCCAACCUGCCAUUCCUCUCUCUCUCUCUCUCUCUCUCUGUCUCUGUGUGUGUGUGUGUUGUGUGGUUCUAAUCCCCGACCUCCUCCUCCCUCUCUAUUUCUAAUCUUGCUCCUUCCAUUUUUAUCCCUCCAUCAUGCUUAUCUAGUUGGACCCUCUCCUCUUUCCUUCUCUCCCCUCAUAAUUGAUUUUAAAAAUGAGGUCAUGUGUUCUCUCCAUCUUUAUCCUUAAACAACCAUCCUCUAUUGUUUAUGAAAUCUUAUUAGGCAAGAGAAAUUCAAGUUUUCAUUACCUAAUAUAUGUUGCUAUUGUAUUUCUUAAAUGCAUGAAAGUAACAAGAAGAUCAAAGAUAAAACAUGAACCACUUAUUUCUUUAGACUUUGUUAGGAUUUAAAUUUUACUUGUGUUGUUGCUAUACCUUUAAUAAUAUAAUUUUUGCUUGUUCGUCUUUGUAGUUCACUUUUAUUUUAUUUAUAUGGUUUUCUUUAUUUAUUUGACAUACAACAAACAUGCGUAUGUAGUAGAUGAACUAAAAAAGGAUUAAACAAAAGCACUUGGGCUGGGCUUUUCUUUGAUCAGCAAGUCCUGGCCAAAGAAUUCAAUUAUGCUGGUCCUUGGCUAAUUUCUAGUUGCAUAACUUUUGGUUUUUAAACCACGGAGAAGAAAGAAAGAGAAGGAUGAAGGAAGAAAAGCAAGAAGACAGGAAAAGAAGCAAAGAAACAAGGGGAGACCGAGAUGCCUGAGAGAGAUUUCUUCUUUAAAGAAGCUUCUUCCACUGACUGUCACUUAAGUAUCUGUAAAUUUGUGUUUUCCCUUUUCCCUACCAUAGAAAAACUUAGUGCCAAUUUAUGUAGAUUCUUAUUUGGGCAGGGUGAUGGGUCAAUGACUCAAAUGUCUCCUUUUUGAACCUCCUAAUCACUAUCUAAAAUCUAUGUAAGGUUAACUCCAAAAACACAAAUUAAUAGUAGAACUUUAAACCAUCAGUUUGUUUUUUAUUGUGUUGAAGAGUUUUUUAUUGUUUUGUAAAAUGAUAUGUAUACAUUAAUCUACAACUGACACUCUCUUCUUUUCUUCUAAUUCUUAUCUACUUAAUUUUACUAAGAAGUAUAUUGCCUCUUUGCAUCAUUCUUUAUUUAUAAUUCUGCAAAGCACAUGCCGAAAACAUUUCUGUUUAUUCCCAUGUCAAUUAUGAUUGUAUCAAACUUUUUAUCACUUGCAGGGGCAACAAAGACAGUGUAUGCUCCAGAACCUUUUGAUGUUGGACGAUUUUUGCAAGCCGAGAUUGUUUUAAAUGAUGAAAGGUUCACAGUGACAACAACGAGUCCGAUAGAUCCUGGUUUGGCCCCUUUACUUUGUGACAAUAUAUUGUCCACUAUAAUAUCAUUUGUAAAGUAAUUGUCUUUUCAUGCAUGUUUUUCCAUAGCUCUAUUGAAAUUACAUGAAAGAAAUAGUCAGCAGCAAGCCAAGAUCCUAUGUGUAUCUAUUUAGGUGCAAAUCUGGAUAUCUGAAUAUAUAUGCUAUGGAUUGGAAGUUCUGGUUCUUCAAGCAUUUAGCUUUAUGAUUUCUUUUGUCAAAGCAAAUCUGUGGAAGUGAAAUUAGUGAUGACCUUUCAUUUUAGAAUGUGGAUGCUAGAUCAACUACAUUGUUUAGUAAAGGGUAGAUAGGCUAGAUUUGGGCGGUGAGAGAUACAUUUCAAGAUAGUGCAAUAUCAGAUUAUAUUGAAUUGAUUUUUGAUACUCAUACACAAAAAUAUAUAUACAUACAUAUACAUUAACCUUUUAUUUUUUUCAUGGGCGUCGGCUAAAGUUAUUCUAACUUAGUUAUCCUGUACAGCUGCAGGAUUAGGAAGCUAUGUGGAGGCACUUGCGAGAAGGCCAGAAACUGAGUUUAAUGUAAGAUUUCAUGCUGGUUUUAGCACCUUGAUAUUGCUAUGCUUGUAGGCUGUUACUUGCCUGAUGACACAAUGUGGGCUCUUGACAAGUUUGAUUAGAGAAGUUAACCUUCUAAUGCACAUCAGUCCUAUCAAACAUAAAUCUGUUAGGCCUUUUUCAUUUCUGAGUUUAUUAUUUUUUUUGUCCUCUCUAAUUUUGUUGUAUUCCUCAUGCUUCCCUUCAAAAAGUAAAGUUUUCUUCCAUGGAUACGUAUUUAAUUACUUAAUUAAUUGGAUGGUUGCUUUACGUUUACCUAGCCUUUACUUACCAUAAAGAACUCAGUCAUAAUUGGAUUUUAAUGCAGCAGGAUUGCUGCUGUAUCUUGUUUAAAUUUACCUCCCAAUAGUGCCAUUCGUUUCUACCCAAGGUUGUACCUCACAUUCCAGAAAGUAAUUUUAAUCCAACUUUUUGCACUUAUAUCCUUGUUAUUUUUAGAUUUCUCUAUCCUCUUUUCAUUCUCUUCAACUCAGAUUAGUACCCUACUGUUCCUGUCUUUUGAUGGCUAUGGUAACACCAUCGUUACUGUUUCAUUGCUUUCUUUUGGUAUUCCUAGGUUUACCAGAAUCUUCCCAUUCAAGAAAAUGCACCCUAUUUAUAGCAGGUUUGCAAAUCAAUGCUCUAUUGCCCUUACUCACGACCAAGUGCUUAUGUAUUUAUAGCUUUUAUAUUUCCUGUAGUCUAAGGCUGCGUUUGGAAGUGGAAUAAGUUAACCCAGAGUAAGUGGUUAACUUACUCCUACUCCUCUUUACUCUGGAAUAAAUUACUCUGUUUUUGAUGUAAUUUAUUCCUUGGUUAAGUGGGAUAAUAGUUUGGAAGGGUUUUCUCCUCUUCUAUCUAUCUAGUUCGUAAGUCAUAGAUGAAAGUAAUGAGAGGCAUUUCCCUUUCAAAGAAUAUGGCCUUGGAUGGGAAUGAAAGGGAAAGGAGGAAUUGUGUGCAGAAGCUUAGUUGGACUUCCUUAGAGAGCUCCUUAAUUUAAUCUCAUCAUGAAGUUGAAUUUCUUUAAGAUUUUUUUAACAAAUAUUGAGAAAUAUCAUUAGCAUUUUGAAAGAAAGUCGAGCAUUUAGAUCUUUCUUUGGAAUGGAUCAACUAUUUAACCAACAUCCAUGCCAUCUUUCACAGUGAGCUUAUUCACAAAUCCAUAGGCUCAUCUGAGGUCCUUGCUUGGUCUCCCUCUCUCUCUCCCCCCCACCUUUUCUCUGUGUUAGUGGGUGUUUUCAUGUUGCUUUGGUGAUGAUUAGAUUCAAGUUUGCACGUUCUCAAUCUCAAGUUUGUUGUAAAGAGAAUUAUUAUUGAAAGAAAUAAUCAGAUUGUCAAGAUGUGAUUGAGCAGCACGUUUUAGAGAUCUAUUUGUAGCCUGCAAAUACUUUUCCAAAGAUCAAGUUCUUGAGCUACUGAGAAUGAAGACGUAUGAUGAUCCUUUUGAUAGUGUUGGUCUUAAUGUGCUCCUACUUAAGAACACUCCAGUUUUCACAGUUGUUGCAGUAUAUUGUUUCAAUUGUACUUCUAUUUUUACUAUUUUCUGAAAAUGCCAUACAAACCAAUGUUUUAAAUAGCAAGAUACUCAUCAUCCUUAUAUAUGUAUAUAUUGUUUGCGUGUGUGUAUGUAUGUAUGUAUGUAUGUAUGUAUGUGUGUGUUUGUAUAUAUGCGAAUUGAUCCAAGUGAUGAUCUAGCAAGUAACAACUUCACGUUCAAUGGAUUUUGAAACAGCAUAGGACUGCUUGUUUCAACACAUUCAACGGUUUUCGUAUGUUACAUUUGUUGGCUGCUUUCGUCAUGUUAAAAGCAGCUUUAAAAAAGAUUAAUAUGUUCUGUUUAUCAUACGUUAGCAAUAUAUGAUCAUUAUUAUGAUGCUUGUGUUCUGUUGGUUUCUGGGGUUGGCUUGAUAUUUAUAACUGCUUUUUUAGAAAGGGAAGCAUGAAUAUACAAAUGAUUUUUUCAACUGACACUUGAUAAACUGCAAUUGUUUCUUUUUCUAACUGAUUCUAACCCUUAAAUGUUUAUUAUGUUGCUUUUCAGGUGGUUGUCACACAAAUGAAUUGUCGUGAUUAUUCCUCGCAGUCCAUUCAUGUGUUUCAUGUGGGGAAGAUGAGAAUAAAGCUUUGUAAGGGGAGGAGUACAAAAGCAAAAGAAUCAUAUUCUGCUUCAAUGCAGGUAGCAGCCUGACCUGGAGUAUGGAUCUUUAACUUGGGAAGCUAAAUGAUGCACUUUUUUAGAAUAUUGAAUAUUUUCUUCUAAUCCAACUAACAUGGGACAUACAUCCAAUGGUUGUGGAGAAACAUGUUCUUUCAAUUGGUACUCACUACUCAGAUUCGGAUAGAACUUGCAAAGAUGCAUCCGAUACCACUUCACAAGUUUGUAUGUGGAUACAUAGAUACAUUUUCCCUCUCUGCCACAAUUCAUGGUACUGAUAGGCCUUAAAUGUGCAGUAUUUAGGGCCUCUAAGUAUGCACUCAUUGAUAUGCCCAUGUGAUCAUUCCCAAACAUUUAGGAAGUGGCUUGGAGUUGUGGAGAAAGCAGGUAGAAAGGACCUGGUUGGUUGUUGGUCCGGUAAUUCCUAAAGUUUUAAGGACACUGAAAAUUGCUUUAAAAGGACCAUGCAAAACUGAUAUCUGACUGCAACCAUUUCCCAGCCGUACUAUAGUUCAGAGCAUCAUGCUAUCCCUACGGAUAUGUGACUUAUGAUGCUUUGCUGAUUUUCCCUUCAUGAGAUUCAUGUUCCCCUUGUCUAAUGCAAUUUGUGUUUCAACAUAUACGUGAACUGGACUUUAUUUACAUAACUGAACUAUGUUGAAAAAAUUGUAAUAUUAACGUAGAAAUUAAAAGUCAUGUGUGUUGACAGUAGUGACCUGGAUUUGAAUCCUGGCCUCACCUGCUGUCAGCUGGGCUUCCUCCUGUCCUAGUUCUCCCCCUCCAAAAAAAAAAGAAGAAUUAAAGGUGGCACGGAUUGUUGUGCAAGCUGGGCUUGUAAGAACAUGUCGUUAGACCAUUGGCAAAGCUGCAAUAAUCUAAGUUGGCUUCAGUUCGCUCUCUUUUUUCCACAGCUAAAUUCUUGAGCGUAUCUAAUUUUGUUACUUUCCCUGGUCAACCUCCAGCUUUGUGGGGUUAGAGGUGGUGGAAAUGCUGCAGCUCAGUCAAUCUUUUGGCAAGCUAAGAAAGGUCUUUCCUUCAUAAUAGCUUUUGAAUCGGAGAGAGAAAGGAAUGCAGCAAUCAUGCUUGCCCGAAGAUUUGCUUUUGACUGCAAUGUAAGUAUCCAUUCCUUAACAAUAAUUCAUCAGUUAUCUGUGUUUGCUUGCAUUGGGCAUAUUAAAUUCAUGUUGGAAAUCCAUGGAAUCUGUCAGCCUGCUUUCAGCUUGUUCUACUGUAUAUUGAUUUAAAACCUAUAUACUCCUAUUUUCAUAGCUUUUUGCAUUUGCUGGCAAUUGUCAAAUGUUAGAACUAAAUUUCCUUUCUUUAUCUGAUGCAUACCAGGUCAUGCUUGCUGGACCCGAUGAUCGAGCUCCUACUGGGACCUCAUAAAAGUGAUGAACUUCUGUAUGACCGUAAGUAUGUCGAGGCUGUGCAGUUGUGUAUUUGUAUGAUUGUUAUAGGUGAAAGCUGAUAGAACGACUGUAACUGAGGCUUCUGUUAUUCUAUUCUGUUCAGCACCAAGGCAUCCUUUUAUUUGCCUUCACACCAAAUUGUAACCAUUCAUUUACAGCUAUUGUAUAGGCGGGUUCUGUUAUUCUGAUCGUGUUCAACAUUAAGGCAUCCUUCAUUUUCUCUCGACAAAGACCUCAUUCUAGACUGAGUACACGCAUAUUCCUGUCAUAAAUGUUAGAAUAGGAUGCUUAUCAUUCAAAGAAGUUUAGUCACCCUGUCAAAAUGGCUCUAGGCGAGUGAAGCACAACAAACCCUUCAUAUCUUUUUUACUGUCCUCAUCUAUAUAUCCAGUAUAGGUAGACAAUAAUUGUGUUUGGGACUAUGGGCUGGUGGCCAAAAAUUUAUGUGAAAUUGAACAACCUGUUUCUUCUACCUGCUUAGAAAAUCAAACCAUACCUCAAUAACAUGAUAUCAGCAUAAAACAUGUACUUGGUUUCCAAGUCAAAGCAAUACAUCCAAGAGUCAGAACUGAGAUGACAGGGAUGAGGAUGGGAGUUCAUAUAGGUUGCUGCAGCGAACAGAGCAGAUGUCUCAUUUUAUCGCUCAAGACUUGAAGAACUUGUGUUGUAUAUCAAGAAUAAAUGGGAGCUAUCGACAUGCACCAGUAAGUGGGCUGACACCAAAAUUCCCGUCUCUGACAUAAAACUAGUGUAGCGUUAAGAAAAUCAACAGUCAGCCAUCGCAAAUAUAGCAUAGAUACUGGGAUGGCAAAUGACUCGAUCAGAGGCUACUGAGAUCACUCUACAUUUCUAGUGACCAGUGACCGGGCAAAAUGCUACCUCUGGUGCAAGUCUUAAGGUUUAUGCAUCAUUCCUUUUACAGCCUGCUACUGCCAUUCAUCUGCAUACAGUGAGACAUCGGUCUCGACCACCUUUUAAUCCAUCAUGAAGAUAAUGAUGGGGUUUAAGAGGCCUUUCUCUGUGUUGUUACUCCUUACUCGAGCAUAUGUUUCCAGGAAAAAGAUCGGGAUACCUCGAUCAAUUGAUUUCAUGCGAUGGUCAAACGAAGAUUACAACCAAAUGGCACUAAGACGUAAUGAUCAUGCAACUGUAAAGGAAAAAAAAUAAUGAUUAAAAAAUUAUAUAACGUUUUAUAUUAGACAUUGAUAAAGAUCUGGGCACCAUAUCCUAAGUCAAAUACGUGGAUGGAAGCUGACCACCAGGCUUGUUGGGAACUCUAACCAUCUGUGUGAGUGUUACUGUGAGUGUUGGGGCGUUCAGCUGGACGCCUGGGGCAGCUCCCAGGCAGGUCGUAGGAGCCCCUGGGCUGCCUUGUACAGCUGCCUUACUGCCCAAGAGUGAUCUAGUUCCCAUUCUAUUCUCAUCCCAUUUUUACCGGUUCGAUCAUGGUGUAGGAUUAUUGUCGGGCGAAUCUGCAACGAUGGAUUUCAGGAAAUCCUAGUGCAUGGCAGAAGCAUGUUAAAAUCAUCAAGCAGGUAAAUUAAGUUAUAUUCUGCAGCAAAUAUAUUAUAGCACCAUUCAGUACACAAGGUGUAUGCUAUUUUUCUAGAUCACAUAUCGAAUGCGCACAGCGAAAACACUAUAUAAAUCACAAGAACAUGUCAGUUGUGUUGAAUUUUCUGCUGCUAAGAUAGCAUAGUAAUGAAGUUGCACAAAAGAAUUGUAUAUAAAGAUCAUGAAUUACUUCAAGAUCCCAAACUAUGCUGGAGCUUGACGGUCCAUUCAGAGUUCUUUCAUUGCAUCAAAUCCUGGAACAACACAUGAUCUCAGAUGGAACCCGAUAAAAAAUCUGAUAAUCCAAAAAGUAUUUUGGCCGAUUCUAAAAUGCAGCCUGACCCAAAGAUUAUUGAGAAGGUGAAAAGAAAAAAAAGCCAUUAGACUCCUUCGACAUUCCCAUCCAAUAACAGUAUCCCCAAAAGCAAUGUGGUAAAGAUGGCUGAUUAUGUCUGACAUGAUUCAUUGCGAAGGCCUGGGAGAUUUGUUGGGUAGGAUGUUGUCAGGAAGAAUAAGCUCUGGUGGUACUUCUCGAACAACUCCAAGCAUUGAAUCAUAAUCCUCAUCCCUGCGAGCAUACUUCUUGCGCAGCCCCUUCUCUAACUCGAUAUCAUCGAAUGCCUUAGCAUUCUCAGCAGCAUGUACCUGGGCCAAAUUGGAAUAGUUGGUUGCUGAUUGGGAAAUGAAAGCAAUCUCUUCUUCUGUGAGCUUCCUCAGGAACUUUGCUGGAUUACCUCCCCAUACCUGUCACUUGAUUUUAAAUUUUAUUAACCAGUCAACACAAUCACAACAAGAUAGAAUUAAUAAGCAAAGGCCAAAUUAAUUCUCGCCUCUGUCUUUUUACAUGUCAGGAUUUGAAUUUUUCUUCUAAAAUUGGCGUAUUGAACAAAAGCAUUAAUUAAUAGGAAGAACUUAUGCUGAUUAAAAAACUAAAAACAGCUAUUAGUUGCAGUGAAUUUGUCAUUGCCAUAAGAAUUUUGAAGAUAUAAUGAAAAGCACAAAUUGGAUGGUUUGACUUAUCCAGGUCAAAUUAGUAUCUGGGUUAAAGGCCAUUCAAGAGGUAAUACUCUACGCAUAUCGCAUAUUGCUUACUUUGUGCCAGUUCCAGAGAUCAUUGCUCAAAAAAACCCUAGAAUUUGUGCGAGCAUAAGCUUUGGCAGAUGCAAUAUUCUUUGAAAGCAAAGAGUGCGGAAGUAUUAUGGAAUAGAGGUGAAGACUACCUCUCCGCAUGGGAUCUUCGUAUUUUGCCUUACAAGGGCACCAGCAGCAACCAUGCCGUGUUUUUCCACGACAACCCCAUCAAGCAGGACUGCACCCAUACCAACAAAAGUCUCGUCCUCGACAGUGCAUCCAUGUAAGACAGCACUAUGACCUGUAAUAUUCAAGCUCUUAAACAUCAAAAUGGUUAAUCAGCUUACAAGAUGAUAUUACAGUUUGUAAUCCUUUUGGACCUCAUAGCAAUUAGAUGAGAAAGAGAAAGAAUCCAUUCUUAAUCUUGUAUUAUGAUACAUCCGAAUGUUUAGAUUCAGUGAGGUAUCAGCCAUCAAGCUUUUCAGUAAAAACAUACAGAAAAGAGGAACUAAAACAAGACACAUGGCUUGAAGAAUAUCCAUAGGGCCUGACUGAAUCAGUUGACAAGAAAUAUAAGCCAAUAAUGGAAUUAGUGUCAUAAUACUUACCUAUUGUAACAUUAUCUCCAAUAAUGGUCGGCAAGACCUUCCCACUUAAAUUAGACUUUGCUACAUGCACAAGUGAAUUAUCUUGUAUAUUAGUUCCAGAUCCCACACGGAUGCGGUUCACAUCACCUGGAGAAAUGAGAUAUUAGAACUUUUAGAUACAAAUGACCAUCAGAAAAUGGAAAAAAUACCACCAAAAUGCAAUAAAAAUUAUGUGCCACUAAACAUCAUUUUGAAGAUGUCAUUAGUGGAGAAUCUAGAUGUCAGCAAAGAUCAGUUGGUGGCGAUCUCCCUGCACCUGACCCCUUUUUGACAGUACAAUUACUUUUCCAGCAACUCAUCUUUUUCUAUAAAAGAGCUUGUCAUUGUCAUUCUUUUGAUAUGUAAUUUGUUGGCUGAUAUACAAGACAGCAAAGGAAAUACACCAAAAAUAUGUGGUUGCCACUUUCCUACAUCUAACUCCUUUGUAACAGAACAUUUUUUUCCCCAAGCAAUUCAUAUUUGAACAUGAAAAAUCAAAAAAUCGCAAUCCCAGAGAUUCAUACUCAUCUCUCAGAUCAUCCAGAAUCUCCAUUUUCAUUGAUGUCUUACAAGCUAUUGCUGCAUAAGCUGGAUGAGAUAUGACUCAUGUGACAACAGAGAUCUUCCCAAAACUAGGCUACGUAACAUGACAUGACAUGGGAAACAUAUGCGAGAUGAGCUACAUAUAAAAGCACUGAUUUGUUUUAAAAUCCUUAAAUGCUAAAAUGACAAAGACUAUCUUAAGAUUGAUGCAAGAACUCGUAUCAAAAAUCCUCUUCUUGGAAUUUGGAAUAUCCUUUUAACCAUCAAACCAUGGCAUUUGGAAUAAUUUUUUAACCAUCAUAACCAAUUUUUUCAAUUUUUAAUCUUGUCCUAAUAUCCAUUUGAAGUGGUAGUUCUAUGAGCAAUAAUAAUUAAAAUUAAUAUGCAAAACAGAGUAAAAAGGACUUCAUAGUCAGCAGAACUUCGGAUACUGCAUAGGAAACAUGAAAUGAGAAAUAGUCUACCGAGUCUAAUUUUAGCAAUUUGGAAAACAAGAAUGCAUACAAUGUAGAAAUGGGUGAAAGACUUAAGAUAGGAUUUCAAAUGAAAUAUCCCAUGGAGUUUGGAGCUCCUGCACAACUGCCUCACCUGAUGACCAUGCGGCAUUUCGCAUGAUAAAACCUUAAGGCUUUGCAGGAUCAUAAAUCUACUCCUCAAAAGGAGUUCUCCUUUGGUGAGACAUGCUAUGAACAAAUGAGAUAUUUGAUCAUGACCCCCUGAAAUUCACCUUAUGAGAGAGGUUUUUUUUAAAUAAUUUUUUAUGUAGGCCCAAGGCUUCCAGUGAACUCAAGAAUUCACCAUUAACUACAUCCAAACAUUGGGGCAAUUUUGAUUAAGAGACCUUGUCCACAAGUGUUGAAAGAAGAUAAAACAGAAUAAAUAUAAAUCUGAAUUUCAUUAAUCUGCUCGCUCAAUAUUACAUGGCUUAACCAGAGGCACACCAACAGUUUACAUCAAAAAUAGAAUGAAUAGAUCUUUAUACAUGAUUUCGCAUGCUGUAAGUUGAAGCAAAUGUGCAUGAUAGCAAGAAGAACAUGGAUCCACUUAGAGAUAAAGAGAUCCAUUAGCAUCUUGUUUUGAACUUGCCCAGUUUAAUGACAUGGGAGAUUGAGCUUGAAUUUGUAUGGUUUUGUCCAGUUUAAUGACAUGGAGGUCAAAAGUUGCAUUUGAGUAGAGUUAGAGGACUAACUCUAAUUGGAAUCAAGAAGGGUUAGAGGACUAACCCUAACUUGACCUUGAUUUAACAAGGGCCAAAUGACUAACCUAAGCUUGAGCUUGACUAGGACCAGAGGACUGUUCCUAGCCUAGAUUUGAACAGAGGACUAAUCAUAACCCGAGCUUGAUUAGGACCAAAGUACCAAUCCUAGCUUGGAAUUGACUUAACCAAGGUGAGGACCAACCCUAGCUUAGAUUUGACUAGGGUCAGAGGACAAACCCCUGGAUGAGCUUAUCCAAGGUCAAAGGAUUAACCUUGACUUGGAUUUGACUAGAGUCAGAGGACUAACUCUAAUCUGAACAUGACCAGGAUUAGAAGACUAAUGACUUGAAUUUGACUAAGGUCAGAAGAUUAACUCCAGCACGAGCUUAAGCGGGUCAGAGGACUAACCCUAACUUGGAUUUGACUAUAAUGAGAGAACUAACCUCAACAUUAGCUUAACUAGGGUCAAAGGACUAACCUUGACUUAGAUUUGACUAGGAUCAAAAGACUAAUCUCAACAUAAGCUUGACUAGGGUCAAAGGACUAACCUUGACUUGGAUUUGAUUAGGGACGGAUAACUAACUCUAGUACAAACUUGACCAAGGUUAGAUGACUAACCAUCACUUAAAUUUGACUAGGGUUAGAGGACUAACCCCAACAUAAGUUUAACUAAGGUUUGAGGACUAACCUUGACGUGAAUUUGACUAGGGUUAGAGAACUAACCCCAAUAUAAGCUUAACCAGGGUUAAGGACCAACCCUGACUUGAAUUUGACUAGAGUCAGAAGACUAACCCAAGCAUUAGCUUGACCAGGGUCAGAGGACUAAUCUUGACUUUAUUUGACUAAGGUCAGAGGACCAACCUGACCAAGAUCAGAGGACAAAUCUUGACUUUGGAUUUGACCAGAGUCAAAAGACUAACUCCCACAUGAGGAAAAAAGUUGCCAACUAGGACUCAAGGGUCGAGUUAGCCACAUAAGGAAAAGGGACACCAACUAUGAUUUACCCUAGCUUUGACUUGAAUAGGGUCAGGGGAGUAACCUUGAUUUGAGCUUGAGAAGGGUCAGAGGAUUAACACUAAUUGGUUCUAACCAGAGCCAGAGGACUAAUUCCCGUUUGGAUAGGAUUAAGGCUUGAUGACUAUCCUUAGCUUGAAUUUGAGCAGGUUCUGAGGACUAACCCUAACUUGGAUGUGAUUUAACCAUUCGCCGCUUAGAUUUUGACUAGUAUUUGGCCUUAUGCAACCCACUUGAAGCUACCGUGCUUUUCCCAUGGAUUUAGUUUGACAGGAAUCAAGGGGCCCAUCUGGAGCCAGACUAGGAUUUUCAGCGAUGAACUUCAUGCUCGGCCUUCUAUAGCCUUUCUGAGCUAGACUUCAGCUUUUGUUCAAUAAACUUAGUGCUGGACCUUGUGCAGCUCGCUUGAGGUUGAUUUGUGCUUUUGAUAAUUAUGUGAUGGGACUCGUGUAAACUUUUUGAGCUUAACUUGCACUUUUGACGAAUGAACUAACUGAUGGGCCUCAUGACACCCGUUGAGCUUGAUGAUAGGCCUUGUGUUGUCCUCUAAAGCUUGAUUUGGGCCUUAACCAUUUCUGACUUGGGCUUGACCAGCUUGAAUUGAUUGGGGCUAGAUGCUUCCAAAGUUGGGUAUCAACCCAAUAGAAGCAGGACUUCAAACACACUAGAACUAAAGAAGAUUAAUCCACUCAUAUCCAGCCAAAAUUAUUCAACCAAAAACAUAUGCAGAUAUUUUGACUUUAGCAAUAAAUCAGAUAUGAAAACACAGCAAGUAUCCAAAUUUUGAACAGAAUAACUAAUUUUAGAACCAAAUUUCAGAAAGAAUUUCCAGUAUUAACCUUCUAGAGUCCAGAUUUCUACAUUAAUAUUUCAUCUUCCUACACUUUUAGAAGAGCCAUCACAUAAAUAUGCGUGUAAAACACAUCUUUAUACACAACCACUCUAAGACACAAGAAGCCUGUAAACUUGGUUUAUAAAACUAUCAUGUCAUACUUAAAUGGAAAUCAAAACAAAAGUACAAGAUAGGAUCAAAAUCUUUUACCAUAAUGCCUUGAGGAGCAGAUACGUAUAGCAAAGGAGAUAAAUCAUUGUUCCACAUUAUUUAUACUACAGAAUUUGGACUUGAAGAAACCAUUUCAAAAGUUCAACUAAUCAAAAUUUCUUUUUAAGCAGAUGAAUAUCAAAAUUAGGAUAUCGUUUUUUAAAUAAAAAAUUAGCCAGGAUAGAAACUAUUGAUAAAUUGAUAUUUCGAUUAGAUCAAUAUGUCAAAUUAUCUAAGUGUGCAUCCUAGAAAAUUUAGCAUAAAUAUCGAACACCAUAAACAUUACACAAUCAUGUUCAAAAUUUGAUAAGAAGUAUACCUCUCAAUACGCAUCCAUACCAAAUUGAGGAUCCUUGACCCACUUGAACAUCACCAAUGACAGAUGCACUUGGAGCCACAAAUGCAUCCUUGUCAACAAUGGGCACUUUGUCAAAUAUAUUCAUGAGUGUACGAUGCCUUGACACUGAAAUAAACAAUCAUUGCAUGUUAACAACCAUUCACUCAAAAAAUGAAUAGGCUUACUGUGCUCUAUCUAUAAAUGUAUUUAGAAAACAUGAUAGCUAUCUGUAAUUAUACAAAGUCAAGGAAUGAUAUAUUUAGAGAAAACUUUACAAGGGAGGUCUUUGACAUCACAAAAUUAAUUGCAAGAACCUAGCAAACAUUACAAAAUAUAGAAAAGUUUACCAAAUGCAAAUAUGAAGAUAAUGAAGGAAGGAGGAACCCUGACCCUAUAUCAUCAAAGCUUUCUUUUUUAAAGAAAAUAAAGCUGAUAAAGGAAGGAACAUAUUGAUAUGAAAAUCUUCAUGUAUCAAAAACAGUUUCACAUGGUCUUUGUGAAACACUUUCUGAUAGACUCUCCUAUCCUCUAAUGAAACAAAUCAAAGAAAACAUGACAUGAACACAGAAUAGCAACAGAGAAGAUUUUUGCAAAGAGCUGUUGUCACAGCUGCACUUACAAAUUAUUUAAAAAUGAGAGUAAUCAUGAUUUUAAAUGAUUAUGCCAUGGUAUUACCAGGAACAAACGAAAAUGCCUGGAGAUUCUGAGUUUGGAUGAUGCAAAUAAAGCCACUUCAAAGUAGUUGGAAUUGCUCGAAUUUCUAGUGGUAGCUGUGAUUCCUAUCUCAUUGUUCAGUUUUCCAGACUAAACCCGAGACAGGGUCAUGACCAGACUAAACAUAUCUCCUUGUUCAAGUGGUCCAACAGCUCAUUCUUUCAUCUUCUUCAAAUGGUGAUCAAUACCAAUCAGAAGUCAUCGGGGGGAUAAGGAAUACAGGCAUUCAAACUUCCCCUUAGCUAACUUGCUAAUCAGGUCAUCACAGUGAUUCUGAUAAUAGUAACAUCCGAUUUCUAGAGUAUGAAUAAUCUGAUAAAUUGAAUAACCCUGUCAUCUUAAGUCAAGCAUUGUCACCUAGCAUGAAAACUUAGUGAAAAUAGAGUAUCUAAUAUUCCAAUGUAUUUGCAUAAGGGGUUAUGCAAGGAGUAAAAUGAAUGAAGAAGUCAUACAACAUUCAAAGAAAAGUCAAAUGUGGGCUAAACAUUCUAAAGAGUAAAGGUAACAAAAUGAACAAAUUCAGUACAUCAAAAGAAAUUUCCAGCGAACCAAUCAACCAUCUCAGCUCCCCAAAGAAUAAGAAUACUUAUUUGAGAAAUUCUGGUUUUCCCAGGAUUUCUAAGAUAAUAUCUGAGAAAAAUUUGAUGGAGCUUCAUGUGCAUACUUUGCAUGUGGUUCAAUCAAUCCGAAGAGCAAUACUAGUCAUUCUUUACAAAGAGCAAAAGGAGAUCGAGUUUGCUUUACUAGAAGAGUCCCUCCAACUCUUCCAGUGAUAUAUGUUCAUCUUCCCUACACCUUAUCAAGUGUUUCAACAUUUUCUUUCCACAUCAAUGCACAAUUCUGAUGCGUCUAAGUAACAACAUUCCUGCUUUAUGCUUCGGCACUACCAAAAUAUAAAACAUAUCUUCCACGACAGUCAUUAAUAUCCGAACAAGGAAACAUUUUGAGUUGACCCCCAAAGAAACUUAAACAGGUUAGCAAUAGUGCUAAUAUACACCAUUCCAAUAAUGACAUACUCUCAAAACACAGAUAAGAUAAUCAAUUCUUGAUUUAGGCCAUGAUAAUCAAAUGGUAAUUCAGACUGUUCAAAUGCCUAUCAAUAGCACCUUCAUCUUCACAAAAGCACUCCUGAAUUGGCAGGCACUGCAACUUGCCAUGGCUUAAUCCAAUUAUUAGAGCACCAAUGAAAUUGAUAGCUCAUGAUAAUGCUAACAUCAAAUAAUAAUUACGCAUCAUGAGAAAGUCUUGCUUGGUAAAUUAAUAGGAGAAAAUGAGAAUAUGGGACAAAAUUCCGUGACCUUGUAACCCUAGUUACCCAACUAUAUUUACUCCGCUACUAACAAGUUGAAAAGACAUCUAAGUAGGAAACCCUGAAAGUAGAAAAAGCACAAAAAACGCAGAUCCCGUCACGCCUUUUACAUAAAGAAACUCCAAAAUCCCAUGAUCUUGGCUAAAAAUCCACAUACAUACUUGAAAAAGAAAAAAACUAGAAAGACGAGGUCAAAAAUACCAAAAUAAAAUAAAAACAAACUAAAGGUGAAAUGGCCUCAUAGACCUUUCCGCAAUCAUAUCCACAUGUGAUCAAAAUAAAUCUUGAAUCACGAUUUGCGGUUCACUACCAGAUUUGAGUUUGCAGAUACACAGAGAGCGAAAUGAAUCCAAUCGAAAAGAUUUAUAAACUACCCAAGUAAAAGUCAAUUUUUUUUUUUUAACAGGAAAUGCGAAAUUCGAGCUGAGAUGAGAAAUUUAAUCGCCAAAGUUGGCAUCAAAUUGGAGAUUUCCUUACGUUGUUCUUGGAAGUAGUAGUUGCCCUGGAGGCGGCAUCCGAGGCGAUCGAUGGCCUGGCCGGUCUCCCGAAUCCAGAAUCCGACGGUGUAGAUCGCCUUCCCCAGCGUCCCCAUGCUCGCACCGAUAGGAGUAAGUUCGUGGAUUUGGGGGCUUGGGAGGAACUCGCAGUGUGAUCCGGAAGCCGAGAGAAGAGGCUGGAAUUGGAAUCGGGCGUUUUCCUUUGCUCGUGCGGGUUUAUAUGGAAAUGCUCCUCCCGGCCCGUUUGGUGGGGGUAAUCUAGAAAAUAAAUCACGGGUAAUGUUACCAUGGGUAAAAAAAAAAAAAGACUGAAAAGAUGAUUAAAAAAAAAGCAGGUCUAUAACUAUUUUUUUCUUAGAAAGAACAUAAAAUAAAUACUAUCAAUGGAGACAAUUUAUACUCGAUGAAAAUGACCUCAACUAUGAUUAUGAGCUAUAUUGAUAAGCAUGAUUAGCUAUAACAAAAUUCUUAAACUAUGAUUACGAAUGAUAAUUAGCUAGGGUGGAGUGAAUUCCUCUUCUUUACUAGGUUAGAUAUCUGAUUAUGUUUCAAAUAUUUAGUAAGAAAGUACAUGAUACAAAUAAUACAAAAUUAUGCUAAUUGAUAUUCAUACAGAUCUUAAUCUAUUUAUUUAUUUUUAAUAAAUAAUUAUUAACUAUUUUAUUCAUGAGCAAAUGCAAACCAGCUAGUAGCUUGCUUUUGUAUGAAUUAUUGUUCAUCUAAUUAUACUAUAAUCAUGGAUUUUUUUUACAAAAUAGAAGAACAGCAACAUUUUUUUUUUCAAUUAAUUUCCAUCAUUGAGCCAUGAUGGUGUGCAUAUUUUCUGACUGAUCCUAUCAUAGAUUACUCUUGAGAAACAAAAUAUGCAAUAGUUUAGAGUUCAUGUUAAAUAUAUGGUUUUAAGUAGCAAAGGGUCCAUGUUAAAUCUAGAGCAUUCAAUAAGUUGGGUGGACUUUAUGUUGAGUCUGUAUACUUCUGCAAGCCAAGCACGUUUUUUCUUAGACCGUCUGAUAAAUUAGUAGCAAGAAAAGAAUGGAGUCAUGUUCCUCAUGUUUCAUAUUAAGAAAAACACCUAUUAUUUUUUCAAGAGUAUUGUUGAAAAUUUGGCCAAAUUCUCAUAUAGGAUUACCUCCAAUUAAAUGUAGUAAUCUUUUUCUAGUAUCAUUUUCCGAAGUAAGUUUUUCACCAAAUAAUUAUAGUAAAAAUUAUUUCCCCUACAAUCCUUCUUUUUAGAUUACCUUGUAAUCUAACAUAUCCCAAUCAAACGAGCCCUCUCCUUUAGCCUAGCUUCUGAGGAAGCAAGAUCUUUGGGUGGGUUUACUUGGAUUUAACCCGACCCGCUAUCAAUUGUGUGAGUGUGAUUGGAUAGGCCAAUUUUUGUUGGAACUACUCAAUGGGUAGGUUAAGCUCAACCUAAGGAUCGACAAGAGGGUGGAGUGGCUCUCGUGGUUGAGGAGGGAGAGGAUGGAGAGGAGGAGGAGGAGGGCAUCGCCGCAUGGAGAGAGGGAGAAGAUCAGUGACCAUGGCCACUGAGUUGGGCUCGCCUUUUUGAUGGAUGGAAGGAUGGUAAUUUAUGAUACGAUUUAUAAAUUUGACCAACAAACAUUCUGCUUCAGGUAGAUUUAGAUUUGAUAUAAAUAGAUUCUGAUUAUGAACAAGUCAAAUCAUCUAUAUUUGGAUUCAUGUUACAAUUUUAACCUGUUUAACAUAUUUUGAUUUGUUUAAUACUUAGAUUGAAUCAUUAUCCAACUAUUUACCUCGUAUAAAAUUUGUUUGAAAUCUAUUUAACUGAUAUAUUUAACCCGGCUUGCUUAAUCUAUUUAAAUUCAAUUAAUUCAUUAAAAAUCUAUUUAAUUAGUUUAACUUAUUUAAUCUAAUUUGAUCUAUUUAAUAAAUGGAUUAUGUGGAUCGGAUCGGAUUACUUGUUUAAUAAAUAGUUCGGAUUCAGAUUUAAAAUUUUAACAUGUUUAAUAAAUGGAUCAGGUUUGGGUUGAUAGAUUCUUGACCCGAUCUACUUCUGACCCGGCCCGAUUGCCACUCUCAAGUGAAGAUGACAAGAUGAGGAAGAAGAUAAGUAAAAAGUAUUUUGUAUUAUAUUUUACAUUAUAUAAUAUAUUAUAUUAUAUAUAUUAUAUAAAUAUUGGAGCCCGGGUUGUUUAAAGUGUGGGCUUAAAUUUCAAGCCCAGGCCCGUCUAAAAUGAUCCGAUCAAGAAUGGGCCACCUGGUAUUUGAGGAAGUCUAGAAUAAGUUUGGCUCGCCGCUGGUACCGAUCGCCACGCACAAAUGAUGAUAGGGGCACGUGCGAUAGGUCCCUAUGUGUGUCACAUGGUACAUAGACCUAUGUGGGGGUGGCGCGUACCGCACGUGGGAGAUCACCAUCUGCGCCCAACGGCGAGGCAAAAUGCUUUUAUUUUUUUUUGAACUUCCCUAAUCUUGACGAAAAGUGGGAUCUGAAAUCGAGUCAAAAAAAAAAGUAUGCAAAUUAAAUUUCUCACGUUUUGUCAACUCUUUCUAAGUAAAUGUGUUCUUUGGAUUGAAAUUUUGUGAACAUGAUUUUAAAUAAGAUCAAAUUUAGGUUGCAAGCUCGGCGAUCCUUUUUCUAAUUUGAUUAAUUUGAUUCACCUUAUGUCCAACUCGAACCAAUACAAGUUGACCUGGCCUAUGCCAAGCCACAGAGCCUAAAUCAUGUCAGGUUGCAAGAUUUUCAGGUGGGGAUGGUGUGGUCUUAUUAGUUUCCAGACUGUGGUUGCUCCAGAAGCGUUUAGGUUGGGACUAGUUGUAUUAGAUUUGAUAAUUUUGUUAAUAUGGCUUCAAUUGCUUCACCUCUAAUCUGAUAUAAGAUGCAAGAUGCAUCCCAUUUGAUAGUUUGUGUUGUUUAUAAAAAUACAUAGAGAAACAUUGGAAGAAAGGCCUGUGCAUUUUUGACAAUGGCGUAUGAAUAAUUGUUGUUGUGCACAAGCUCUAGCUCAGGGAUUUACAAAUUAUCAAAGGUAUGGGAAUGAUAUGGGAUCCUAGCCUAAUUACAUGCGCACUUUAAGCAUAAGAAAGAGCAAUAGAUAUAAUAAUAUUAAAACAAAAAAUGGUAAAUUAAAUAAUAAUAUAAUAGGCCUCUCUCGGCAAUAAUUUGAUGUGAUUUUUAUAUUCAUGUAGCGUGUGUGUACAUUGGUGCAUGCAUACACGUGCGAGAUCAGUGUUUACAAGACUAUGUGGCGAAAACUCAAUAAUAAAGUCCAAGACUUCCAAAAUCUAUUAGCAUAGAGAAUAUAACCCUAAUUUGAGAAAAUGAUUCAUAUAGCCGGUCUCAACUAGUUUGGGACUCAAACUUGGUUGAGUCAAGCCAGGGUGUAUAAGAAGGGAUAAAUCCAAAUUAUAGAAAUAAUAAGUAACUUCAUAGUGGGUGAUAUGCAUGAAAUAUAAUACUUGAAUAAUUCAAAUAAAGUUUGUUAAAAGAUUAAUAGUACUCAUCAUUCAUCAAAAGUUUGGAAAAAGCAAAAAUGAUUAUAUUUGGAAACAACUUUAAUGAAUGUUAACAAUAUGUCAUUGUUGAUGAUAUCUAUGUGUAUACAUUUUUCAAAAAUGAUGCAUUUAUUUAUGCAAAACAAGCACAAUAAAGAUAUGAUAACGAACAAAUCUUUAAAUCUUGAGAAUAAUUCGAAAAACAAUUCAGGGAAAGAACAUUUUGAGAUGCAUUUAGAAAAUUGUCAGUAAUUAGUGAAAUUACUUGAGCACCCAACAUGUUGUUUAAAGUAUUCGUAAAGAUUUCGCAAGUGAUUAUAUAUAUAAAAUCCAUACUAAAAAGUACCUAAAAUUUAGUGCUCAUGGCAAUGAUAAUUAUACUAGCACACCUUUUUUUUAUUGUUUGUUGAGAUCCCCUAGCAAAAAUCUCAUGUGAUGGAUGAAGGACUAGGUAUUGUGGCUAUUCAGCUACUCUUCCAGUUUUAAUGGGUUAAAAUUUGUUCAUAUUACAGAUAGGCAUAUAUAGGAAAACAUGUAGCUCCUUGUUUGAAGUGGUCCAAUGGCCGAGUCCAGAUAGGUCUUGGGUUGAUCCAACCCAUUUGCACCCAACCUGAGUGCACCCUAAACAUCCGUUAUUCCUCAGGGCCACAUGCCCCGAGAUCAAGUUCAUCGAACGGCGUUAAUUAAUUCAAAAUAGGAAUCUUGCUUUAAUAACCACACCCGCUCCCCAACGGCUACUUUUCUAGGAGCACUUCCUCCUCUGCCCCAUCUGAGCCGUAGGAUUUCGCAGAUCGGACCGUUGAGACUUUAAAAAAUUCGACCGUUGGGAGGCACCCUUCCUCCCAAAGGCAACCCUCCUCCCCUCCGGCCUUUUAAUGUGAGGCCAACGAGCCGAGAGAAACAGAGAAGACAGAGGCAGAUAGUGCAAGAAAGAGAGCAGAAGGGAAGGAAAGGAAGGGAAGAAUAGAAAGGACUUGUCCUUAUUCUUCUUCUCUCAGAGCUGAAUCCAGGCGGUGGUGGUGAAUCCGAGCGUAGAAGGGGAGGGGAAGCCGCGGACGGCUCGCCUCCAUUCGUUCCUCUCGUCGGUGUUCUUGAGUCUCUUCGGGAAGAACCAGGAAGGAGAAGAAUCCAUGGCUACCAGGCAUCACGCUGUGGUUUCCCAGCAGCAGAAAGGUAAAUCUACGGGAGAACUGUAAUCUAUGGAUCCUUUUUCGAUGGGUUUCUUGAGAUUGUUACAAUAAAAGAUCGUUUCUUUUCUUCUUGGCUCCUUUUUGGAUCUUCCUCUCUUUGCUUUCUUUUCUUCGGUGGAUUUUUGUUGGGUUUCUUUAUUUUGUCUUGAUGGUAUCUAUGUCGAGGUUUCUUCUGGUUUCCAGAAAUUUUUGUCUCAUAAAGGUUCGUUUUUUCUUUGUGGAUUUUAAAAACUUCCGAUCUUUGAUCCUUUUAGUUUUCUGGGUAAUAAUGGUUAGCGUCCUCUUUUCCGUCGCUUUAAUUUGGCAGGGGGAAAUGUUGGUUCUUUGAGUCUAUUAACCUUGGCUUCAUCUGUGGAGCAGGCUCAGCAAGAUCAUGUCUUUUGAUUUUAUGAUAGAUUCCUAAUUUUUCUUUAAUAUUGUGAUAUUUCUUUCCUUGCUUCGUUUUGGUUGUGAUUUUUCUCCUUAAUCUUCUUGUCUUCAUGGAUUCUUGUUCUACGUGCGGCCUUUGAAGGAAGAGGUUUCUUGAAUUCUUGCGUAUGAUCUUCUUGUAGAUAUUAAUUUGAGUGUCUUAAAUCAAUAACAUAUCUUCUAAAAUCAUCAGGCGCGAUUAUUCCUGCGGGCAAGCAGAAAGCUGCUGCCGGUGCAGAUGCGAAGAACCGGCGAGCCCUUGGAGAUAUUGGUAAUCUAGUCAAUGUCCGAGUUGCUGAAGGGUAAGAACACCAUACCUUAUUUUCUCCCCCAGGAUCCAUAUAUUUGAUGCUUUAAAUAACUUUCUUUUAUAUUUUCUUCUGUUCAGGAAGCCGCUUCCCACAGUUAAUCGGCCCAUUACCAGGUGGGUUCAUCUUCACCCCCAUAUCUUGCAGUUCUAAUCCUCUUUCUUUCUCUUGUUCAACUCAUCUCAUAUCCUUUGUUUUAUUUCAGAAGUUUUGGUGCUCAACUCCUUGCAAACGCGCAAGCCGCCGCCGCCGCCGCCGCCGCCGAUAAGGUACAUUGAUCACCUCCAUAUUGUUUCCAAUAAUUUUUUUUGUCGUUAUCAGUGGUAGGAUGGAUUAAAUGAAUGAUUUCUGUAUGCCUCAUUAAUGAUGGUGCAGAAGCCUGUAGUUGUUCCUGCUGAUGGAGCAGCAGUGGUUAAGGCUGCCGCAAAAGCAACUAAGAAGAUUACUGUUAAGCCAAAGCCUGAGAAAAAAGCCAUUGAGACCAACCCUGAUGAGAAAACAAAGGAAGAAUCUGAGACUAGUAGUUCCCGCAGCAGGUCUUCAAGGAAGAAGGUCAAUACACUUACUAAAGUACUUACAGCUCGAAGCAAGGUAUAAUUUUUUUCCCACUAGACUAUAACAUUACCUGCUUUGAUUUGUAUGUGAUGAGUUUACUUAAAUGUUCCUCCACAUUCCAUCCAUGUCAGGCUGCCUGUGGAGUCACUGACAAACCCAAAGAUUUGGUUCCUGAUAUUGAUGCAUCGGAUGCCGAUGAUCAGUUGGCUGUCGUGGAUUAUGUUGAAGAUAUCUACAAGUUCUAUAAACUUGCUGAGGUACACUUUUCAUAUAAACUCUGCCAAUUUUAUCUAUAAUUUCUCAUUAUCCAUUAACCUCUGUACAUAACUGCCAAUGUUUGCUGAAAUUGUUUGUUUUCAACUGUUGAUGCAGAACUCUUUCCGGCCGCAUGACUACAUGGACUCACAAGUGGAGCUCAAUGCGAAGAUGAGAGCAAUUCUGACCGACUGGCUGAUCGAAGUGCAUCACAAAUUCGAGCUACAGCCUGAGACUCUAUACCUGACUUUCUACAUCAUUGAUCGCUACCUUUCAAAGGAAAUAGUCAUGAGGAGAGAACUCCAGCUUGUGGGAGUCUCUGCCAUGCUAAUUGCGUGCAAGUACGAGGAGAUAUGGGCUCCAGAGGUAGGCUAUAUUUACAACUAUCUGCACCUUUUUCUAAUUUCUCCAUCGAUUGUUUAAUCCAAUAAGCUUGGGCAUCUGGUGCAGGUCAAUGAUUUCAUCUGCAUAUCAGAUAGGGCCUAUACCAGAGAGCAAAUACUAGUCAUGGAGAAAGGAAUUCUGAACAAGCUGGAAUGGAACUUAACCGUUCCCACGCCUUACGUAUUUCUUGUGAGAUUUUUGAAGGCCGCGUUAUGCGACGAAGAGGUAAUAUUAAUCGGAGGUUUUCUGGUGUUUUUCUAUUGCUCAUUCCCUUCAGCAGUCUCAAUUGCAGUUCUUACUUUAGUUUCUUCUGAUUAAAUUGCAGAUGGAGCACAUGGUUUUCUUCUUUGCUGAGUUAGGUCUGAUGCAGUACUCCAUGAUCAUGUUCUGCCCAUCAAUGGUUGCUGCUUCUGCUGUUUAUGCAGCUAGAUGCACUCUUAAGAAAAGCCCACUUUGGACUGAAACACUCAGGCACUACACAGGGUUCUCUGAGCCACAGCUAUUGUAUGCAGUUAUGCCUGAUCACUAGUUACAAAUAUUUAUGUGUAGAGGGAAGUAAUCAAUCCUACUGAAAAAUAUUGUUUUUGGAUGCUGCAGGGACUGUGCACAAAUUUUGGUGAACUCUCACUCAGAGGCACCAGAGAGCAAGCUGAAGGUUGUGUACAAGAAGUAUUCAAGUGAGCAAUUUGGAGCUGUGGCUUUGCAACCCCCAGCAACAAAACUGUUGGAAGAGUUGUUGGAUGCUUCAAGGAAGAAGAGUUAAAAUGCUUCAAGGAAAGUGAUCUGGGAGAAGUGAUGCUGGAUUACCCACUGGUAAUUAAUAUAUAUUUGUUUCUUUGUUUCCAGAGAGAUGAAUCAGUGAGGAAAAGAAGGUGGUGCUGAAUCAUCCAAGUUGAUGAUACAGAGGGAUUCCUUUUGUCUGUUUUUGGUCCCUACUCUUCACUCCAGAGUUUUAUUACUUUGAAGGAAGCAAAACAGUUUACUGCAUUCUUUUAAUGUGCAUAUAGUUUGCUGCCCAUUGGUUGUUGAGACGUCUGAUUUUUAUGAAGCAGCUUUUUGUCGAAGCAUAAUGAUAUAUAUAUUUUUAUCCAAGCCAUUUUUAUGUCAUAAAUCCUUUUCUCGUUGUGCGUAAAAUUUUUAUGCAGCGACGUUGUAGUUAGAUUUGAUAGAAAGAACACCUUGGCACGUUGCCGCCACCCUUUUCCAAAGGAUACCAGCAUCUCUUGGUUCACAUACAUGAGAAUCUAUAACGAUAAUCUAGCUUUUUUCACCUGCAUGUUCAAAGUGCAGGACCCAAGACGUAAGCAAAAUAAGUAACGUUACAUGUAUCACUGCUAUACUUUUAUAUCUGGCUACUGUGCUAUGUGAAUCAAGCCAUUCAGUUGUAAGAAAAAAAAAUAAUCAAGACAACCAGUUUCUGUUUAAUUAAGAUGCAAGCUAGCAAGUGAAGUUCCAUUCAGUAGUCCUCUGAAAGUCCAAAGUAGAACAAGAUUUUUUCGUUCCAAAAACUACCCAAGUUAAGAUGUACACGAGACUUGAAACCUGAAAUCUCAAGUUAAGAUACUUAGGGUUUUGGCGAUCUUUUCUAUCUAAUGAAUAUGAGGAGUCCAUUUGGAAAUCGUCCGCCAUGCAUCCACCUCCGAGUAUAUGAUUUAACAGAAAUCACACAAGAGUAGAUUGAUAGAAACAUCUGAUUCUUCCCCCAAUUAACAAAGAGAUCUUGGCGAAAUUGCCACAUAUGAAAUUGAAUAUAAUUUUGCAAAAAAAUACCCUACUUAUUUCUCGAGAAGAGACGGAAAACAUGCUCAAUAUAUCCUUACUUGAAGAAAACCUCCCCUUCAAUUGGUCUUUUUUCACAAAAAGCAGACAUGAGAUAAUAAGUCAAGUCUUUCCCUAAGAUUUCAAAUAGCUGUCCCGAAUUCAAGUUGAUUAUGUUUGAGAUGGCUCCAUGUGCUCUGAUUCUUCAUUUGUAUUCAUACAUAUACUACAACAUGUAUUUUUAUUUUUGAGAAAACAAACUCUCCUCUUUUUAGAGGGGUCCCAUUCAUACAUAGACUACAUUUUUGAGAAGACAAAGUCUCCUAUUUUUAGAGGGGCCCUAUUCAUACAUGGACUACAACAAGUUAAGAUACUUAGGGAUGUACUACUACACGAGACUUGAAACCCGAAAUCUCUUCUUUUCCGAGGGGCCCUAUUCAUACAUAGACUUGUAACAUAUUAUUUUUAUUUUUGAGAAGACAAACUCUCCUCUUUUUAGAGGGGCCCUAUUCAUACAUAGACUACAACAUGUUAUUUUUCUUUUUGAUAAGACAAACUACAAGUUAUACUGGCAUCUAACAGAUCUCUGACAAAAGAAUUGAAAUUAGUCCAUGAUGAUCCACCGUCUUGAAUUGCUCUAUGAGAAGCCUCUCUCAGUUCUGCAGCUCUUCUCCUCAUCUCCCUGUUUUCAACUGUAUCUUCCAUAAACCUCUUAAUAGUUUUAGCAAUCUCCUCUCUCCCAACUACUUCGUCUUUCGUCACCAUUUCCUUCAGACUCAGACCUACCUUCCAUUCAUCCACUAUAAGCCUGCUAUUAGGUGGUUGAUCCCAACUAAUAGGAAAUGUAAGCAUUGGCACCCCCGUGAACAUACCUUCAAGAGUUGAAUUCCAGCCACAGUGAGUCAAGAAGCCCCCAACCGAAGGAUGACACAACACCUUCAGUUGGUCACACCAAGGCACCACUAAGCCCAUGACACCACUCAUUUCCUGCACUUGAGAAGAGUCCCCACGAGCAACCCACAAGAACCUGGUCUCACUAGAACGCAAGCCCAUUGCAAUCUCAUCCAUCUGAGAGCUUGAUACUGAGAGGAAGCUGCCCAGUGAGACAUAUAGUACGGAGCUCUUUGGUUGGGAGUCUAACCAGUCGAAGUAGUCCUUGCCACUGCCAUUAAGCAGUAUGGGCUCCUUUGGUUUCUCUUCAAGGGUCAUAUAAGGAAUGGAAGGGCCGACCGGGCACACAGGACAAGAGAGCUCUGCUCGUAAUGCAUCUAUAACACAAGCCUCAAUCUCAUAGAACGAAGUGAAGAGAACACAUUGUGCUUUCCUUACCCAAGAGAAGGCUUCCAAUGCUUGUCUCAGUGUCAGCACGGAACGGACAGUUCUGAAAUCAGACAACCUCACCGAAGCAAGACAAGGAAAAAACUGCUCCAAAGGCUCAUCUGCAUCUAUUGCAAAUACAAAAAGCAUUUUCAAGACCCAAGCAUUCUCUUUAACUCAACUGGAUACUAGAUAAGUGAAUUCAAUGAAGUGCAAAUUAGUUAUGGCUGGACUAACUGACAACUAUACUGAGGUUGCCAGAGCAAAUAAGGCUUCACUUCUCCCAGAUUCAAAUAGAGCCUAAAUUGCUAAUAAGGCUUCAGUCUGCUGGUUGGUACCUCUUACCCAGUGUUGCACCGGGAAGAGAUUCCAACUUCAACUUGGAAUGUGGCUCUCCCACUGAUGCUAUCCUUAAUUGAAAAAAAAGCCUAAAUGUCCUUGAAUCAACUAUGUUUUAGUUUCUUUCGAAGAAGAAAGUUUAAUCCAGACAAAGGAUAAAGCACCUAGCCUAUUGAUAUGGUGCAGCACUAGAAAGCUUAUGCCAGAUAAAAAUCUUCAGCAGAUUGGCCACUCUUCAACAAACAAUGCAAAUCUUAAGGCAUGCUCAAAAUUCAUUCAGUACUGAAAUACUAAGAAGCUAUAUCAUGGUUCCUUGACUAGCGAAGAUGAACCUUAAACAUCGUCUACGUGAUCUUGUUUCGGACUACGGCAUGUUUCAUCAAAAUUUAGGAAUGUUAUCUAACAUGCGCUAAACAUGACACCAACCAUAUAGGCUGGUUCCAAUUUCUUAGGCAACUUUGGAUGAGAGAUUUGGCACAAAACUCAGAAAAUCUAUUGGUAGGUAGUGGAACUACCUUAGUAGUUGCACAGCAUAAGCACAAAAGGGGAGAAACUUUGUUUUUCUCCAAAACAAAGCAGUCAUAUGCACUCAACUCAUAUUGUUAAUGAUUCUUUGAUCUAGAUGCCAUGCAUUCUACAUUGUUUGCCAAUGAGUUCUGCAAUGAAAAAUCUUUGGAGGGCCAUGAAGAAUCACAUGCAGUAUUGUCCUUGACAAGGGAUCAAUCAAGUAAGAUUAGAUAGUAACUUGAUAAAAUUUUUUUGAAGAAGAAAAAGAGUAGGUGGAACAAAUGCAUAUCACCACCUUCUUUUAUGAGUGCAGGCAGCAGAUUAGACCUAGGUCUCUAGCAUCCACACAAAGACAGAUAUUUCUUUACGGAUAUUUGCUUGCUGGUAUUGGGUAAAUAAUGUUCUACCUGACAGUUUUUUUGAUAUAAUUCUACUUGACAUAAUUGAAGAGAAGAUAAUCAUAAAUCUGUAGGCACAUUAGAAAGUUUGUACCAAACAAAAUCCUUAAAAGGGCAAAGAGAAGAUGAUGGAGCUAAGUGAGAAAAUUUAUUAGUCGAACAUUGUAAUUUGGGAGCAUUAAUAAGAAUGAGGUUAUAGAAGCAGAAAAGAUAUCAAGGAAAAUGCUUUGGAAUAUUAUGCAAAAAAAGGUUCCUUGCACCCAUUAGGUCCAGCUUGGCAACUUCAUAAACAAGCACUUCAAAUCAAUUCCUGCAAGUCAGCAUCAUACCAUGUGGCAGGAUAGCUUUUUGUGUGCAGGAACCCCCAUAGCAUUACUCAGAUAUCAAAAUCAGCUACUAUACUAAGCCUUUUGAUACCGUCAAAGAAGCUGAAACUAUGCCUUACCCCCCCCCCCCCCCCAACCCCUCCUCAAAAAACAAACAAAAAAAAAGGCAAAAAAGGAAAAAAUUUCUUCUUGUUAGCUAGUGAGCUAGUAAACAUACUUCAAUAUUAGAAUGUAACUUAGCACCAAACAUGAAGAUAGCUGAAGUUAAGGUUUCAAUAACACCAGCAUUUCACUCAACAGGGAAGCCAGAGAUAACACUAAACUGAUCACCAGGGGUCCUAGCGGGUCAUAUCAGGUCAGGUCAUCCAGGUUUCGCUAAGUUAUGCAGACCUAGUAGGGUGGGUCUUAUUCCAUACUCAAUCCUUCGAAGGUUGUCGGGUUUGAGUUCAGGAAAUAAAAAUACAAUAAGAUGCAUCAAUUCUUGAAGUCGACUUUGAGUUUGGGUAAUAAAAAUAUCAUAAGACCUGUUGAUUUGGGUUUAGGAUGAUCAAUGUGCAUUGGGUUUAGGUAGGUUGAGUCAGAGUUUCCACUAGCAACCAAGAAAUAUAUCUUGAACAAUUAAUAAACCUAAAAUUAUUCAUGCUUUAAGAAGCUUAUAGAUGAAACAUCAAAUUAUACGCUCCAAAAGUUAAAUCAUGAAUAGAAAGCACUUGACACAUAACUGUGUAACAAUGUUUUAUUGGAAGUUGAAAAGUUACACUUAAUUUAAAAUCAAGUACAAACACUAAAUUAGACGAGAUUAUUUCAAAGAGCUCAUAAUGUUUGAAGAGUCCUCUUUGAUAAAGAACAUACAUGUACUUUUUUUCAUAUAUUUUCAAAAUUUUACUAUAUAUUAAUCAAAUUUCAAUUAGUUUUAUACUCCUAAAUUAUAUGUUAACUUUUCAUGCAUUGUUUUCAAAAAAAAUGAUUUAUGAUUAUUUUAUAUCCAUGCUAUAAUUAAAAGGUGGUGUAAAAUGACCUAAAUAUUAGUAAUUAAACUAAAAAUAUAUAAAUAAGACUGUAUGUGUAUAUGUAUAUAUUUAUGUAUUAAGAAUUAUAAAUGUGAGAUUUUAGACAUUAGUAGGCGGAUAAGUAGCAGUGCAAAUAUAUACAUGCGUGUAUGCAUGCUUAUAUAUUUUAAAUUCCAUCUGUCAAAUUUCGUGAGAAUAAUAAUCUUAGUUCCUCUCUUCAUGAAUAUUUGUAUAAAAACACGAUAUAUAAUCCAAGUGUGCCUCUUUUUGUUUCUGCACCUCUACCUUUUUUAUUAGACAUUCCAAACCGAUUGGUCUAUAUUUUAAAAAGAAUUCUCUACCUAUUCCUCACCCUUUUGACUCUUUUUUUAAUAUUUUAAAAACAAAAAUAUUGAUACAUUUUCUAAUAUUUCAUGUUUUAUCUCCUUAUCCCCAAAUUUCUUAAAUUCUUUUUCUUAAUAAUCUGUAACAUGAAUAGCACAUGUCUAGUUGCUAGUGAUUUAUACAUAUACAUAUACUAUAUACAUGCAUAUAUAUAUAUAUAUAUAUAUAUAUAUAUAUAUAUAUAUANNNNNNNNNNNNNNNNNNNNUAUAUAUAUAUAUAUAUAUAUACUAUNUAUAUAUAUAUAUAUAUAUAUAUAUAUAUAUAUAUAUAUAAUACAUAGAUAUAUACAUAUGUAUAUAUGUAUGUAUUUAUAUAUAUAUACAUGUAUGUAUAUAUGGGUAUGGUUAUAAUACACAUAGGGUCUAAAGAAAAGACUUUAUACCUGCCGCCGAAUUCAAUAUUAGUAGUCAAAAAAUAAAACUUAAGGCUGUUGGAUGUGAUGUAGAAGGCCUAAAAUAUCUAUAUACAAAAUAUCAUAUGAAUUAAAGACACCUAGCCGAUGCAUCAGAUCACCGAUAAAAAUAGUUAUAAUGGAACAUAUAUUGUUUUGAUUUUGGGAUGACUUGAGGGGUCGAGAAAAUAUAUGAUUUUUGUUUAUAUAAAUUUUAGGCCUUCUAGAUCACAUCCAGUGGCUUAUAUUUUCAUUUCUUGGCCAUCAACAUUGAAUUUUGUGGUGGGGUAGAGUUCAGUAUAAACACCCUAUGUCUAUUAUAACCGCAUCCACAUGAAUUUCUCCAAGGGUGGACCCACGAUUUUUUCCUUGUUUUUUUUUUUUUUUUGUGGGGGGGGGGGGGUGGGGUGCAAAGGAUGUACUUUAGGUCUGUCGUGCAAACCAGUCGACUAGAAUGGGUGUAUGAUGAUCUUUGAGAUUUAUACUCAAAUCAUCAUCUUUGCAUGAGACGACUAAUAAUCUAAUUUGCGUUAUCUGUAUAAUGUAAAUCUCAUAGUUCAUGUUGCAUUAUUUCUUUUACAUAGCAAAUCUAGACAACAUUAUACAACAGAAUGCAUAAAUAAAAUAGUAUAAGUUGACCAAUCAAAUUUAAUUUUUUUAGAAAUUAUUGAAAUAAUUAUUAUACAUUAUAUAUUCUCUAGUGGGAAUGUAUUAAGCUAACUACAUCAAGUCCUAAAUUGUCCUACUAUUUAAGGGUAUAUAAAAAUUACAUAUAAUUUUAAUGGAACAUGAAGAAGCAAAUAAAAAAUAAUUCAUCUUUUUAUCAUUUAAACCUAAGCGGAUGUCAAUAAUAAGUGUAUUUGUAACCAGUGAGCAAUACUAUAUUUUUAUAAAAAUGUUCAAUAAAAUGUGUAGAUUGGGAUCUUUGAUGAUUUAGAAGGGGGGAACAUUUUCUUUGGAGCCUAAAUGUACCCAUUAACUGUCCUCCUCUACAUCGAGAAAUUCCUCUCUUCUAUCCUCCCUGCUUAAGCCAAUUAUCUUGAUAUAUCCUAAGGUAAUCAUCAUUUUUUACAUAAAAAUAGGUAACCCAAUAUAAAAUCUUAAUAGAUGUUAUCCAAUUUAUAAUUGCAGUAAUGUUAAGUCAGUGUUUGGUGAGUAGGCAGCUACUGAUGGUAUUAUGGACUCGAUAGUUAUUUUGAAUAAAUCUUGUACAUCUCCUAUUUCUCAGCAAAAGGAGGUUGGUGUUUUGGAUAAUAAUGCAGGUUCUUCUAUCUGAAAGAGCGCCAGAUUUACUGCAGAUGGUACUGAUAACUCUCAUAUGUUGGACAGAGCUAGUAAGAGAAAGAAGGACAUUAUGAAGGUAAUGAAAUGACUAAGAAGUCAGAGAAAGAUUCAGCAGAUGCUCCUCUUGGUUCUAUGAUGAUCACAGUUUUGGAUAGGUUAACCAGUGAGGAACUUAUAACCAUGGCUGCUAAAUGUAAAUUGUUGUCUAUUGGUCCAAAGUUCUGCUGGAAUAAAUGAAAUCAAAGAAGUAGAAAGGGUAAAGCAGAUAGUUGAGUUGGAGUUGUUGUUAAAGAAAAAUGAGAAGGAAGAGGAGGACGAUAGCUCCUCUUAUCUUCUAAUUUCAUUUUUCUGUUUACUUUGAUUUUUCUUUCAGAACUGAAGCUUUUUAUAUUGGAAUGUUAGGGGUAUCUGUGACCUUUCUAAGAGAAGCUUGUUAAAGAAUGGCACCGAAGCAAAUGGCUGCAUUUUGGCUUCUUUUCAGGAAACAUCUAUGUCAUUUCUCAGAUCUUUUGCUGGUUCUAGACUGAAUUGUUGGUUUUAUUAAUUGGUUGGUCAAAUCAGUGGGUUAGUGGUGUGGAAAAAGUGCAAGGCCAGCAUUCUAUGUUAGUUAUGUUUACUUUUAUUAAUUCUAAGGUUAAUGGUUAUUGUCUCAUAUAUAUGGUACUUAGGAUUUAAAUGAGAAAUUGGUGCUCAGAAGACAUAAGAAAUACUAGAGCUUCUUUUGGUGUUCCAUGGAUAGUGUGUGGGGAUUUUAAUAUGACAAGGUGUGGUUGUGAUAGAAGUGGUGAUCCAGGUUGACCUAGAGAUAUGGAAUUAUUCAAUAUGUUUGUUCAAGAGGUACAGCUUACUGAUUUACGUUUAUGUAAAAGAAACUUAAGAGUAAUAGAAGUAAAUUAUUGACCAUGGGAUCAACUGGCUUUACGUAAUCCUAUUAUGCAAAAAAGGUUCCCAUUAUUGACAAGGUUCCUAUUAUGCUAAGCUUGACAAGGUUCUUAUUUCUGCUGAAUGGGAUCAAUUGGCUUUACGGAAUCCUAUUAUGCUAAAAAGGUUCCAAUUAUUGACAAGGUUCUUAUUUCUGCUGACUGGGAUCAAUUGGCUUUACGUAAUCCUAUUAUGCAAAAAGUGGAAUUGCUGACGGGACUCACCG